UGCGGCGUCUACCUGCAGUCGAACGGUAACAGGAAGCAGCUUGCUGCUUUGCUGACGAGUGGCGGACGGGUGAGUAAUGUCUGGGAAACUGCCUGAUGGAGGGGGAUAACUACUGGAAACGGUAGCUAAUACCGCAUAACGUCGCAAGACCAAAGAGGGGGACCUUCGGGCCUCUUGCCAUCGGAUGUGCCCAGAUGGGAUUAGCUAGUAGGUGGGGUAACGGCUCACCUAGGCGACGAUCCCUAGCUGGUCUGAGAGGAUGACCAGCCACACUGGAACUGAGACACGGUCCAGACUCCUACGGGAGGCAGCAGUGGGGAAUAUUGCACAAUGGGCGCAAGCCUGAUGCAGCCAUGCCGCGUGUAUGAAGAAGGCCUUCGGGUUGUAAAGUACUUUCAGCGGGGAGGAAGGGAGUAAAGUUAAUACCUUUGCUCAUUGACGUUACCCGCAGAAGAAGCACCGGCUAACUCCGUGCCAGCAGCCGCGGUAAUACGGAGGGUGCAAGCGUUAAUCGGAAUUACUGGGCGUAAAGCGCACGCAGGCGGUUUGUUAAGUCAGAUGUGAAAUCCCCGGGCUCAACCUGGGAACUGCAUCUGAUAC
This 600-nucleotide ribosomal RNA is filed under the name Escherichia coli. Its description in RNAcentral is "bacterial SSU rRNA". It matches the Rfam family "Bacterial small subunit ribosomal RNA", at positions 38 to 633 of the family's 1533-position model. The record is from RNAcentral. Lineage: Bacteria; Pseudomonadati; Pseudomonadota; Gammaproteobacteria; Enterobacterales; Enterobacteriaceae.